RNAcentral lists this ribosomal RNA (502 nucleotides) under uncultured bacterium. RNAcentral's name for it is "partial 16S ribosomal RNA". It matches the Rfam family "Bacterial small subunit ribosomal RNA", at positions 28 to 523 of the family's 1533-position model. The record is from RNAcentral.
GAUGAACGCUAGCGGCAGGCCUAACACAUGCAAGUCGAGGGGCAACACAGAAACAGCAAUGUUUUGGUGGCGGCCGGCAGACGGGUUCGUAACGCGUAUGCAACCUCCCUUUAACCGGGGGCUAACGGAGAGAAAUUUCCACUAAUACCCAAUAACAUCGCACAAGGCCUAUUGAUUGGUUGAAAAAUCCAGCUGUUAAAGUGGGGCAUGCGUUGUAUUAGGUAUUUGGGGAGGUAAUGGCGCACCAAGCCUACGAUACAUAGGGGGACUGAGAGGUUAGCCCCCCACACUGGUACUGAGACACGGACCAGACUCCUACGGGAGGCAGCAGUGAGGAAUAUUGGUCAAUGGGGGCAACCCUGAACCAGCCAUGCCGCGUGCAGGAAGACGGCUCUAUGAGUUGUAAACUGCUUUUAAACAGGGAUAAAGCACAGUAUGUAUACUGUGUUGAAGGUACUGUAAGAAUAAGGAUCGGCUAACUCCGUGCCAGCAGCCGCAGUAA